Molecule: unclassified non-coding RNA, 267 nt
Filed under: Archaeorhizomyces sp.
Lineage: Eukaryota; Fungi; Ascomycota; Archaeorhizomycetes; Archaeorhizomycetales; Archaeorhizomycetaceae
Description: partial contains 5.8S ribosomal RNA, internal transcribed spacer 2, and large subunit ribosomal RNA
Rfam family: 5.8S ribosomal RNA (bases 1-69)
Source: RNAcentral
GUGAGUCAUCGAAUCUUUGAACGCACAUUGCGCCUCCCUUUACCGGGGGGCAUGCCUGUCUGAGCGUCAUUUAAACCUAUGGACCCGACAGGGUUCCGUAUUGGGCCUCGCCCCCCUCUCUGAGCGGCGUCGCCUCAAAGAUAUCAGCUUUAUGUAGCGGAUGGGAUCUUUAUAGACUGACCGUUCCAUAGCUGGAGUUUAACUCUGAUUUGACCUCAGAUCAGGUAGGGACACCGCCUGAACUUAAGCAUAUCAAUAAGCGGAGGA